Molecule: ribosomal RNA, 603 nt
Filed under: Streptococcus thermophilus
Lineage: Bacteria; Bacillati; Bacillota; Bacilli; Lactobacillales; Streptococcaceae
Description: bacterial SSU rRNA
Rfam family: Bacterial small subunit ribosomal RNA
Source: RNAcentral
CAUGCAAGUAGAACGCUGAAGAGAGGAGCUUGCUCUUCUUGGAUGAGUUGCGAACGGGUGAGUAACGCGUAGGUAACCUGCCUUGUAGCGGGGGAUAACUAUUGGAAACGAUAGCUAAUACCGCAUAACAAUGGAUGACACAUGUCAUUUAUUUGAAAGGGGCAAUUGCUCCACUACAAGAUGGACCUGCGUUGUAUUAGCUAGUAGGUGAGGUAAUGGCUCACCUAGGCGACGAUACAUAGCCGACCUGAGAGGGUGAUCGGCCACACUGGGACUGAGACACGGCCCAGACUCCUACGGGAGGCAGCAGUAGGGAAUCUUCGGCAAUGGGGGCAACCCUGACCGAGCAACGCCGCGUGAGUGAAGAAGGUUUUCGGAUCGUAAAGCUCUGUUGUAAGUCAAGAACGGGUGUGAGAGUGGAAAGUUCACACUGUGACGGUAGCUUACCAGAAAGGGACGGCUAACUACGUGCCAGCAGCCGCGGUAAUACGUAGGUCCCGAGCGUUGUCCGGAUUUAUUGGGCGUAAAGCGAGCGCAGGCGGUUUGAUAAGUCUGAAGUUAAAGGCUGUGGCUCAACCAUAGUUCGCUUUGGAAACUUCAAAC